AAUAGCCUAACGGCUGAACCAGCAACUUGGAGGAAUGAAUAGCAUUAGCUAAUUGUACAAAUAUAUGAUGCAAUAUUGACUCAGUCGAAUAAAAUUCUGGCUAGAAUUAUGAUAAUGACAUUGUUUAGCCAUGUGCCUUGACCAAAUUACGUGCCAGCAGUCGCGGUAAUACGUAGAAGACUAGUGUUAUUCAUCUUUAAUAGGUUUAAAGAGUACCUAGGCGGUAAAUCAAGCCCUAGACGGGACUAAUUUGCUAGAGUUACUUAUACGGGGGUUUUAAAGUACUAAUGGUGUAGAGAUAAAAUUUUGUAAUACCAUUUUUUGAAAGAAAAGUGAUGGCACUGGUAAAGGCGAAAGCAUCCCCUUAUGUGAUAACUGACGUUGAAGGACGAAGGCUUUGGAUCGCGAAUAGGAUUAGAUACCCUAGUAGUCGAAGCAGAAAAUUAUGAAUGUCAUAGAUUAGAGAUUAAUUUUAUUCUAUAAAUGAAAGUGUAAACAUUCCACCUCAAGAGUAAUUUGGCAACAUUGAAACUGAAAUCAUUAGACCGUUUCUGAAACCAGUAGUGAAGUAUGUUGUUUAAUUUGAUAGUCCGCAAAAAACCUUACCACAGCUUGAAUAUUUAUAUAUUUAUAUAUAUUUACAAGCGUUGCACGGCUGUCUUCAGUUAAUGUCGCGAGAUUUUGGUUAGAUCCAUUAAAUUAACGUAAGCCCUUACUUUAUUUAUAAAUAAAGUAGUUCCCCACUAUAUUGGAUAUGAUAACAGGGACUAAGACAAGUCAUCAUGGCCUGAAUGCUGU
RNAcentral lists this ribosomal RNA (798 nucleotides) under Phyllopsora ochroxantha. RNAcentral describes it as "SSU rRNA". It matches the Rfam family "Bacterial small subunit ribosomal RNA", at positions 370 to 1210 of the family's 1533-position model. Lineage: Eukaryota; Fungi; Ascomycota; Lecanoromycetes; Lecanorales; Ramalinaceae. The record is from RNAcentral.